CGAGUGGCGGACGGGUGAGUAAAGGCUUGGGGAUCUGGCUAUAAGAGGGGGAUAACUACGGGAAACUGUAGCUAAAUACCGCGUAAAGUAGGGAUACCAAACGGUGGUAGGGACUAGAGAUGCCACAUGCUUAUAGAUGAACCCAAGUGAGAGUUAGGUAGUUGGUAAGGUAAGGGCUUACCAAGCCGACGAUCUCUAGCUGGUCUGAGAGGAUGACCAGCCACACUGGAACUGAGAGACGGUCCAG
RNAcentral lists this ribosomal RNA (247 nucleotides) under uncultured bacterium. RNAcentral describes it as "partial 16S ribosomal RNA". It matches the Rfam family "Bacterial small subunit ribosomal RNA", at positions 92 to 334 of the family's 1533-position model. The record is from RNAcentral.